Molecule: long non-coding RNA, 758 nt
Organism: Papaver somniferum (opium poppy)
Lineage: Eukaryota; Viridiplantae; Streptophyta; Magnoliopsida; Ranunculales; Papaveraceae
Exons: 2
Source: RefSeq, a predicted model, not a curated record
UCAACUCUCGGAGCUGAAGUUCAAAGGAACAACAAAGAUAAGAAUACUCUUAUUGGAGAGAAAGAAGAUUUAAAGAAACAAAUUUCUGAGUUGAAAUCAAAACUCAAAGAGUGUUGUGGAUCAGCUGAUGAAAAACCAUGGAAGAGUGAUAAUAGUUCUGUUCCUAAUGAUUGGGUUCCUUUCGAGGAUCUUGAUGUUCUAAAUAUUCCCAGGAAUACUUCUUUGAAAAUCAGCAAAGCACCAGGUGCACUGAAAUUCGUUGAAGAUAAUACAACGAAUGUUCGAGCGAGCCGUUUCCAUGGAGGAAUAUAUCUAGCGGCUGUGAACGUUGAAGAGUUGAUCCCCGACAAAGAUGAAGCACGAUUCGAUCCAAAUAUCUGGGGUUCGUAUAAAGAUGCGGGAACAUCUUAUGCAGCCCGUAUGCUAUCUGAGACGAAGAUGUAGAUUGACGCAUAAAAGACGCGUUAAUCUGUCUUCUUAUCAGUGGGUCGAAGCUCCCAUUUAAAGGAAUUCAGAGCUUCAUUGGGGGUGUAAGAUAUUGAAAAAUGAAUUAAGGUGCCGGGUUCAUGCCGCUAGUUGACGGAUUCCUCGUGUAAUAAUUAAUGCUCGAGUUUGCAUCACCAAACUAAUUAAACAGAAACAUUUUUUAUUUUAUUUUUGUUAUGCUGUUUGCUAAUGUCGGAUCGUGUGCACCAAACUAUUGUUGUGCCCGGAAAGUUGUUAAGAAAUUUCCAAUGGAUGUCUUCUUCAACCUAAAA